CGGCGCGCGCGUCACGGAGCCCGGCCUGGCUGACGGGGCCGCUGACGCGCUUGGCCGCCGGGCCGAGUCCGCGGGGCUGCUCCCCGGGUGCCGGCGACAAUGGGCUUCUGUGUGUGCAGCUGCCGCCGCCACCAGGGGCCGGGGGAGGGAGGCGGGUGGCCGCUCCCUGACCUCCCUCCCUCCCGGCCACGACCCCCUGAAAGAAAGUGGGGGAUCUAUCCCGCCCCGGGCAGCCACUUUGUGCGCCCCGGGGAGCGGGACCCACACCGGGCGCGCCCAGCUGGGGACGCAGUGACGGAGGGGCCGGCAGCGCCGGGCAGGAAGCCAAUCUGGCUGCCGGGAACCGGGAAAGCUUGCUCUGGAGCCCCUCGCACGUGGCAGGCAGGCCGAGAACUCGUAGUGCCUUCUAGGAAAUUGCAAUCGGUUUUGUAAUGCACUUUUGCUAAUUGGGAGUUCAAAAUUAAACUUUAAUAAAGCA
RNAcentral lists this long non-coding RNA (478 nucleotides) under Urocitellus parryii (Arctic ground squirrel). Its description in RNAcentral is "lncRNA (ENSUPAG00010002492.1)". The record is from RNAcentral. Lineage: Eukaryota; Metazoa; Chordata; Mammalia; Rodentia; Sciuridae.